This 497-nucleotide ribosomal RNA is filed under the name uncultured bacterium. Its description in RNAcentral is "partial 16S ribosomal RNA". It matches the Rfam family "Bacterial small subunit ribosomal RNA", at positions 28 to 507 of the family's 1533-position model. The record is from RNAcentral.
GAUGAACGCUGGCGGCGUGCCUAAUACAUGCAAGUCGAGCGAACAGACGAGGAGCUUGCUCCUCUGACGUUAGCGGCGGACGGGUGAGUAACACGUGGAUAACCUACCUAUAAGACUGGGAUAACUUCGGGAAACCGGAGCUAAUACCGGAUAAUAUAUUGAACCGCAUGGUUCAAUAGUGAAAGACGGUUUUGCUGUCACUUAUAGAUGGAUCCGCGCCGCAUUAGCUAGUUGGUAAGGUAACGGCUUACCAAGGCAACGAUGCGUAGCCGACCUGAGAGGGUGAUCGGCCACACGGGAACUGAGACACGGUCCAGGCUCCUACGGGAGGCAGCAGUAGGGAAUCUUCCGCAAUGGGCGAAAGCCUGACGGAGCAACGCCGCGUGAGUGAUGAAGGUCUUCGGAUCGUAAAACUCUGUUAUUAGGGAAGAACAAAUGUGUAAGUAACUAUGCACGUCUUGACGGUACCUAAUCAGAAAGCCACGGCUAACUACGUG